Long non-coding RNA from Nicotiana attenuata, 555 nucleotides. RefSeq lists it as uncharacterized. The transcript has 3 exons. NCBI's taxonomy places the organism in Eukaryota, Viridiplantae, Streptophyta, Magnoliopsida, Solanales, Solanaceae. The record is from RefSeq and is a predicted model, not a curated record.
AACGAAACACAAACUAAAUCUCUAAACCAAAGUCCAAAACCUAAACUUCAUCCCUCAGCCGCCACUUCCCUUCCCCACUUUCUUAUUUCUUUCUUUUACCAUUAAUCGAUAUUAAUUCAAGGCUGCGGGAAGAACAGAGGAUCAACAAGAGUGUAUCCCCAUUGCAAUCUCCAUUUAUGGACAAAAAUUUUAACUUGUUGGUUCGUCUAUUCCCCAGAUGCUCAAGAGAAAAGUGCCUUUGAGAAAUUGUAAUCUCUUCUAAUGCCAAACUUCUAGUGAUUACGGAGAGUGCUUCAUAUAUUGUUGGAUGCAUAAAAAUCAACUGGUGUGAUGAAGGUGGCGACAUAAGUCAUCAAGAUCAAAUAGGAGUGACAACAUGAAUUAUCAAGCAAAUGCUUAUAUUCGUUUAAUGUGGAAUGCUAUACAUUAUUUCUAAUCUCUAUUAUCAUCAAGCCUCACAUCGGCUAAUUCUUUUCUUCAAAUUUUAUUAUUGUAAAAAAGUUAUGUAAUGCAGAUGCUAUUAAUUGAUCAAUAUGAAUGUGUAUCUUGGAUUUA